AUUGAACGCUGGCGGAAUGCUUUACACAUGCAAGUCGAACGGCAGCACGGGGCAACCUGGUGGCGAGUGGCGAACGGGUGAGUAAUACAUCGGAACGUGCCCAAUCGUGGGGGAUAACGUAGCGAAAGUUACGCUAAUACCGCAUACGAUCUACGGAUGAAAGCGGGGGAUCGCAAGACCUCGCGCGAAUGGAGCGGCCGAUGUCAGAUUAGGUAGUUGGUGGGGUAAAGGCUCACCAAGCCAACGAUCUGUAGCUGGUCUGAGAGGACGACCAGCCACACUGGAACUGAGACACGGUCCAGACUCCUACGGGAGGCAGCAGUGGGGAAUUUUGGACAAUGGGCGCAAGCCUGAUCCAGCCAUUCCGCGUGCAGGAUGAAGGCCUUCGGGUUGUAAACUGCUUUUGUACGGAACGAAAAGACUCUUUCUAAUAAAGAGGGUCCAUGACGGUACCGUAAGAAUAAGCACCGGCUAACUACGUG
RNAcentral lists this ribosomal RNA (482 nucleotides) under uncultured bacterium. RNAcentral's name for it is "bacterial SSU rRNA". It matches the Rfam family "Bacterial small subunit ribosomal RNA", at positions 30 to 507 of the family's 1533-position model. The record is from RNAcentral.